Molecule: long non-coding RNA, 435 nt
Filed under: Pan troglodytes (chimpanzee)
Lineage: Eukaryota; Metazoa; Chordata; Mammalia; Primates; Hominidae
Description: long non-coding RNA NONPTRT004474
Source: RNAcentral
GUGGAUAAUUACUGUACCUUCCUCAUGGAAAAAGUUUUAUUUAAAGUGUUACUUCUCAUUGAAUACUAUCAAAAAGGGAAAAAAAAAUGACCUAAACUUUUGAGAUAGAUUUGGCUCUAGUGUAAAUUUUGAUACCACCAUUGCCGCCUUCCCCUCAAAAAAGGUGAGAACUGACUAAACUACUGGUACUUAGACCAUGUGGAGAAGGAACUGAAAAUGGAAACAGAAACACGUCUGUACAGAGCAGAGUGUCAGAUAAUAGCUCAUUUUAGUAGAGGGCAAUAAAUGCCACAUGAGAUGAUCACCUCAGCAGAAAACUGUAAGUAAAUGGAGACUUACAGGAGAAUUGAACAGUUGUUUCUGCUGACUCAGUAAAAAGUCUUCAUUUUAUAAUUUGUGGCCUGCAUGCUUGUAAAUUAAAAUGCAUUGAGUUGU